GGGGACGACAGGCUUCGACGUGGUCGAUCCGUGGGGGCAGUUGCGAGCCGAGGUUCCGGCAGGCCUCGUAAAACCGCCGGAAAACCAUACGUGCGGACUCUCACGAGUACGCCCUCGCCGCUUAGUCGAUAGCUAAGCCGUGAGGUUUCGGCCCCUGUAGCCCGCGACGGGGAUCGCCGGAAUCAGCAAGCGGGCUCACCCGGGAAGGUCCGCUCCCGCCGACCCGGGGAAAUUCAAGGGAGCUGGUCCUCCGCAACCCCGCCGGCGUGGCGAGCGGAGGGCGAGAUCAGAGCGCCGGCUACGCUCGUAGAAGCUGCCCGUCACGCGACCGCGGACGUGGGUUCGAUUCCCACCGUCUCCA
Molecule: transfer-messenger RNA, 361 nt
Filed under: Solirubrobacterales bacterium
Lineage: Bacteria; Bacillati; Actinomycetota; Thermoleophilia; Solirubrobacterales
Rfam family: transfer-messenger RNA
About the family: Bacterial tmRNA, also known as 10Sa RNA or SsrA, is named for its dual tRNA and mRNA-like properties.
Source: RNAcentral